Molecule: unclassified non-coding RNA, 152 nt
Filed under: uncultured Paecilomyces
Lineage: Eukaryota; Fungi; Ascomycota; Eurotiomycetes; Eurotiales; Thermoascaceae
Description: sequence contains ITS1
Source: RNAcentral
CCGAGUUUACAAACUCCCAAACCCAAUGUGAACAUACCUAUCUUACUGUUGCUUCCCCGCCGUGGGUAAAACCGCUGCGGGGGAGGACACAGCCACAAACUCUGUAAUUUACUACUGUAACUGUCUGAGUAAACAUCAUUUAUAAUGAAUCA